Molecule: ribosomal RNA, 305 nt
Filed under: uncultured bacterium
Lineage: Bacteria
Description: bacterial SSU rRNA
Rfam family: Bacterial small subunit ribosomal RNA
Source: RNAcentral
CCUACGGGGCGCAGCAGUGAGGAAUAUUGGUCAAUGGGAGAGAUCCUGAACCAGCCAAGCCGCGUGAGGGAAGACGGCCCUAUGGGUUGUAAACCUCUUUUGUCGGAGAACAAAACCCGGGACGAGUCCCGGACUGCGUGUAUCCGAAGAAAAAGCAUCGGCUAACUCCGUGCCAGCAGCCGCGGUAAUACGUAGGGAGCGAGCGUUGUCCGGAAUUACUGGGUGUAAAGGGAGCGUAGGCGGGACGGCAAGUCAGAUGUGAAAACUGAGGGCUCAACCUUCAGACUGCAUUUGAAACUGCUGUU